RNAcentral lists this ribosomal RNA (253 nucleotides) under uncultured bacterium. RNAcentral describes it as "partial 16S ribosomal RNA". It matches the Rfam family "Bacterial small subunit ribosomal RNA", at positions 524 to 776 of the family's 1533-position model. The record is from RNAcentral.
UACGUAGGGGGCUAGCGUUGUCCGGAAUCAUUGGGCGUAAAGCGCGUGUAGGCGGUCCGGUAAGUCCGCUGUGAAAGUCGAGGGCUCAACCCUCGAAUGCCGGUGGAUACUGUCGGGCUAGAGUACGGAAGAGGCGAGUGGAAUUCCUGGUGUAGCGGUGAAAUGCGCAGAUAUCAGGAGGAACACCAAUUGCGAAGGCAGCUCGCUGGGACGGUACUGACGCUAAGGCGCGAAAGCGUGGGGAGCAAACAGG